Molecule: ribosomal RNA, 326 nt
Filed under: uncultured eukaryote
Lineage: Eukaryota
Description: partial 18S ribosomal RNA
Rfam family: Eukaryotic small subunit ribosomal RNA
Source: RNAcentral
CCCUUAGAUGUUCUGGGCUGCACGCGCGCUACACUGAUGUACUCAACGAGUUUUCGACCUUGCCUGGAAAGGUUGGGUAAUCUUGUUAAAAUGCAUCGUGAUGGGGAUAGAUUAUUGCAAUUAUUAAUCUUCAACGAGGAAUUCCUAGUAAGCGCGAGUCAUCAGCUCGUGCUGAUUACGUCCCUGCCCUUUGUACACACCGCCCGUCACUCCUACCGAUUGAGUGAUCCGGUGAAUAAUUCGGACUGCAGCAAUGUUUGGAUCCCGAACGUUGCAGCGGAAAGUUUAGUGAACCUUAUCACUUAGAGGAAGGAGAAGUCGUAACA